GCCUUCAUGGUGCAAUGGUCAGCACGCUCGAAGUGCAACCGAGAGGUCCGUGGUUCAAUUCCCGGCGAAGGCC
Molecule: transfer RNA, 73 nt
Filed under: Stegodyphus mimosarum
Lineage: Eukaryota; Metazoa; Arthropoda; Arachnida; Araneae; Eresidae
Rfam family: tRNA
About the family: Transfer RNA (tRNA) molecules are approximately 80 nucleotides in length. Their secondary structure includes four short double-helical elements and three loops (D, anti-codon, and T loops). Further hydrogen bonds mediate the characteristic L-shaped molecular structure. tRNAs have two regions of fundamental functional importance: the anti-codon, which is responsible for specific mRNA codon recognition, and the 3' end, to which the tRNAs corresponding amino acid is attached (by aminoacyl-tRNA synthetases). tRNAs cope with the degeneracy of the genetic code in two manners: having more than one tRNA (with a specific anti-codon) for a particular amino acid; and 'wobble' base-pairing, i.e. permitting non-standard base-pairing at the 3rd anti-codon position.
Source: Rfam by way of RNAcentral